This is a transfer RNA of Aspergillus terreus NIH2624, 117 nucleotides long. It matches the Rfam family "tRNA". Rfam says of the family: Transfer RNA (tRNA) molecules are approximately 80 nucleotides in length. Their secondary structure includes four short double-helical elements and three loops (D, anti-codon, and T loops). The record is from Rfam. NCBI's taxonomy places the organism in Eukaryota, Fungi, Ascomycota, Eurotiomycetes, Eurotiales, Aspergillaceae.
GGCAAAGUGGCCGAGUGGUUAUGGCGCACGGUUCAGGUGUGUACUUUUCCUGUUUAGGAUAGAGUGCUUCGUGUCCGUGUUUCGAAAGAUACCUGGGUUCGAAUCCCAGCUUUGUCA